RNAcentral lists this ribosomal RNA (557 nucleotides) under Bifidobacterium pseudocatenulatum. Its description in RNAcentral is "bacterial SSU rRNA". It matches the Rfam family "Bacterial small subunit ribosomal RNA", at positions 146 to 714 of the family's 1533-position model. Lineage: Bacteria; Bacillati; Actinomycetota; Actinomycetes; Bifidobacteriales; Bifidobacteriaceae. The record is from RNAcentral.
UCUCCUGGAAAACGGGUGGUAAUGCCGGAUGCUCCGACUCCUCGCAUGGGGUGUCGGGAAAGAUUUCAUCGGUAUGGGAUGGGGUCGCGUCCUAUCAGGUAGUCGGCGGGGUAACGGCCCACCGAGCCUACGACGGGUAGCCGGCCUGAGAGGGCGACCGGCCACAUUGGGACUGAGAUACGGCCCAGACUCCUACGGGAGGCAGCAGUGGGGAAUAUUGCACAAUGGGCGCAAGCCUGAUGCAGCGACGCCGCGUGCGGGAUGACGGCCUUCGGGUUGUAAACCGCUUUUGAUCGGGAGCAAGCCUUCGGGUGAGUGUACCUUUCGAAUAAGCACCGGCUAACUACGUGCCAGCAGCCGCGGUAAUACGUAGGGUGCAAGCGUUAUCCGGAAUUAUUGGGCGUAAAGGGCUCGUAGGCGGUUCGUCGCGUCCGGUGUGAAAGUCCAUCGCUUAACGGUGGAUCUGCGCCGGGUACGGGCGGGCUGGAGUGCGGUAGGGGAGACUGGAAUUCCCGGUGUAACGGUGGAAUGUGUAGAUAUCGGAAAGAACACCACCC